This is a long non-coding RNA of Papaver somniferum (opium poppy), 2219 nucleotides long. RefSeq lists it as uncharacterized. NCBI's taxonomy places the organism in Eukaryota, Viridiplantae, Streptophyta, Magnoliopsida, Ranunculales, Papaveraceae. The record is from RefSeq and is a predicted model, not a curated record. The transcript is spliced from 3 exons.
GUAUAUACUUUCCUGGAUCCUUUUAUAUGUGCCUCCCCUCUAAGGAGAGUAAGAAACCAAAAUCCUAGCCUCCUUCAAAACCACAGAUCCUUUAAUGAUACGGAUUAAAUAAUAGCAGGAUCAUCAACCCCAAACCAUAUCACCAUGAUGAUCUUUCCUCUCAAUGUUAUGAAAUCUUUGCUUGGCUUCCAUCACUUGAGAAUGAAUCGCAACAUUUUCCGUUUUUAACCAUAUCCUAAUUGCUACCAAGUGAUUUUUAUUCCCCAUCCUCUAGAUCCUAUUCGCAGAAACCUAAUCCCAUUUUUCGCAUUCUUCAAUUUUUACUUUUUUAAUUUCUCUGUGAAAUUAAGUAGAAAACAGUAAAUAUAGGGCUUUGAAUCAAAAUAAGAGAAGAAGGGAAGUGGUGGCACAGAUUGAUUGGUACUAUGGAGGAUGAUAUAUUUUCCUAAUAUAAAGACACUGCCAGACUUUCUUCCUCUUUUGUAUCCAAAGAAAGUUAGCUCACAAAGCAGUCAACUCGGCUAUCUAGUGUAGAUGAAGUUUUAUUUGCAGAAAGGUACCAAGGUGACGAGUCAAUGGAUUUGAAUGAGGUUAACUGUAACAGUGAUGAUGAAGACCUGCCAGAACCAGUUAUUGAUUGCGAUGACGAGAUUAGGGUGACUGGUCAAAUCCAAUCAACGCUCGCAUCAACAGUUGAGUCCAAAGAAUUUGUUGUAGAAACUUGGAGGAUAAAUGGUGAAUAUAAGAUGGCUGAAAAGAUUGACGCAGUUGAAAAGUUAUUUGUUGGCCAAGAAUGGUUAAAUUAUGAACAAUGCACUGAUUAUUUGAAGAACCUAACCAGAGACAUGAACUGAAGUGAAGAACAUCAGGAAGAAGCAGCAUAUUUGAUGAUUGUCUGUGGAAAAUUUAUUGUGCUGUGCUCCCCAAUGGCCAAACUAUACAAUACAAAUCUGGUCACUUCUUUCAUACUUGUGAAUCAUUUCAUGGGCUGAAUCAUCCUUCGGCAAAUGCAAAAUGGGUAGCAAAAGUUAUGUUGGAGCGCUUUAAAGCUCAUCUCUUACUACAAGCCUAAGGAUUUCAUGACCGAGGUAAAAAGAUGCCAUAAAGUUGACAUUUCAUACUAUUCUGCAUGGCAUGGGUAUCAUUUAAUUUUGGAAAAGAUAUUCGGUAGUUAUGAGGUUGGAUAUAAUAUAAGAUGAUUCCUGCACUAUGUCCGAGGUUUUUGAUGAGAAUCCUAGGAAUAUUGCUUACUACAAGACAGAUGAUAACGGGAGGUUAAAGUCACUCUGCAUUGUCCAUCUAGGAUUAGAUGGAACUCAUAUAAAAGGUAAAUAUGGUGGUACAUUGUUGGCGGUUCUGGGACUUGAUGCAAAUAAUGGUUUACUCCCCUUUGCUGUUUACAAUUGUCAGUCAGAAAGCGGUUCUCAGUAUAUUUGCACCAGAGCUAAAGCAACAUAAAAGGGCACUGAUACUUAACAUUCGUAAGUGACAGACAAAAGGGAUUAGUAGAAGGUAUUGCUAGAAAUUUUGGAGAUGUGAAUCACUAUCAUGGAAAGAGCAUAGAAUUCAUAGCAUGGAGGGCAGCAAGGUCUUACAAGAUUUGGAUGGAAAGAUUGGGAGAAGCCAAGGCAUCUGCAGCAGAGUGGUUUAUUGACAAACCAGUUGAGCAGUGGUCCCUUAUUUGAUAAGUUCACAAAUCAGCCAUCUUCUGAGUUUAUAAAUAGCAGCCCCGCAAAAUAUAAAUAUUUGUAAUUGUAAAUGUAUAAUAAACAUCCUAACACAAAACCAUAAGAUCUAUAGGAAACUUAGAAUCUGUCGACAUAAUAAAAGGAAACUAAAUAAGAUGAAUAGAUGGUGAUCAGAUAAGAGAAGAAGCAGAGUUUGAAGAGUAGAAGAUGAUGAGACAGAAGAGAAAGAAAGAGGACGAAGAAGGAAGGCAAAUAAUAGGAGAAGAAGACGAGUGGUUUAUUUUUUUUAUUUAUUUUUGAGUUGAAAAACAGCCUCCGGAGCCUGUGAGCUUCAAUAUUUUUUUUUUUUGUUGCAAAGCGCCCUUCACAAAGCAUUUUGGGGCUGAGGCGCCAAAAAGUGUGAUCUGAUAUCGCCCCAGAAUGCUUUUUAAAGCCCGUUUCACAAAGCAUUUUGGUGUUGGAACGCAAAAAUGUGUGCCGUGAUUCUUGCCCCAGGCCAUAACCCUUUAAACACGCCAACUGGAAAUCAAU